This 3325-nucleotide long non-coding RNA is filed under the name Oreochromis niloticus (Nile tilapia). Its description in RNAcentral is "lncRNA (ENSONIG00000034005.1)". Lineage: Eukaryota; Metazoa; Chordata; Actinopteri; Cichliformes; Cichlidae. The record is from RNAcentral.
AUGGAAAAAGACCUGAGAGGAGCAGAAGCUGCUCCGGAGCUCAGCCUGCAUCCUAAAGAUGGGAUGGGAGGAGCAGAGGGAGUGCUGAAGGCUGACAGCCUCCAGGGGCCCCUGGUGUCUCUCGGCAGCACCGCAUCAGAGCAGCCCUCCACCUCUAAGCAGCAAUAUACGAUGGAGCAACAGCUAUACGGGGCCUCGGGGUCCAGGGAAGACAUCUUCACCUUGGGAGCACCGAGCUACAUGACUUCAAGCAAAAACUGUGGCAGCAGGAGCCUGGGGGCAGCUGCGUUGGACUGUGAAUCUGAGAGCUCAGGAAACUCCCAUCAGUCCUUGCCGGAGGGGCCGUCUGCACAGCUGCCGUCAUGUGAAGAUCAGCCGGCGUCUGUCCUGGUGACGGCUACAAGCAGCGACAGCGACACUGAGGACGAGGCCCUGCAGAGCAACAACUCUCGCUACGACAACCACACUCCACCCUGCACAGGAGAGCAGCUCCUGUCUGAUGACAUGAGUCUACCUGCUGACAGGUGAGCGCGGCAGAGCGCCGGCUUCACGCCACAAUAACGACGCAAUAACGGCUGGAGAGGACACAUGUGCUAGUUACACAGAGCUGUAGAGUAGAAACUAUUUGUUAUGCAUGAACUGAAAACAAACACUUUUUUCUUAGUUUCCUAAAUGUUUUCAUUAUAGGACCAUGGCAUAAGUUAAUGAAAUAACUGUUAAGGGCAUCACUUCAUGUUGUGCAGAAACAACAGAGCCGCUCCCUUCAAGACAAACAACAUCACAGUUUGAUUUUAAAGUUGUUUUUCUCUGUUCUGGGUUUGUCUUCAUUCGGGGGUUUGACCCCUCGGUGCUGCUUUUUGCUCAUCAGUGUGGCUGUUAUAUAGCAACACUGGGUUUACGUAAGUCAGUUAGUCUCAUUAUUUAAUAGCCACGUACUAAUGGCGACACUGCUGUUUGUUUAAUGACUGAAUUUCUAACAGUGUUAGGUGCAUAGAAGCAGGACUGCAGUGCUUUUUAGUCACUUUAUUUAAUUCCUUGUGUAUAAAUGCUUUUCUAAGUCUGGCCUGUCUACAGCAUAUAUAUGUAAAUAAUAUGUAGCCUGUCAAUAAGAGUUUAGUGUUUCUACUGCUGUGCUGUUCAUGCAGAGUUCAGUCUUCCUGCCCUUCAGGCUCAGCACCUUCUCCUCUUCCUUCACCCACUCGGCUCUCUUUAUCCACCGCUCAAACGCUUCGUUUCAAACACGCAGUUUUCGUUUUCUUUUUCUCGAGGUGAGCCAUUAGCUUUCCUUGUAAGUCAUGUAAAUGUCUUCCCUCCUAAUAACAGCCGCGUCAGACUUUAUUUGACAUUUGAAAAGGCUAAACGAACAACUGAGUAACGUGGUUUAUGAAGCUGCCGCUGCAGUCUGUGGGCUGAAACUUCAUAGCAUGCCGCAGCCUCCGCGGUGACGCUCAGACUCUCAGGCAGGUGUUUUCACUUCAACAGCUGCAUAAACACCAGUGACUGGAGGGCAACGGGCCUCCGCCCGCAGAGACCGACACACACACAGCACAUCUGACAGCUCAUCAGUUAUUGUUAAUUUAAAGGAGCAGUCUGAGUUUGGGUCUUCUCUUGAUUCUGUAAAAAUCUUUGUUAGCUUUACUGGACUCUAUCCACACCUGCUCCUCUCCAUUCCCACAGAUUCAAACACUACUAAAACAACUGCCCUCUUAUUUUUUUUUUUUUUUUUUUUUAUUCCAUGUUUUAAGUCUGCAGUGAGUGAGCGAGCAUUGAAGAGCUGAAACUGAGGCAGUAGCUCUGUUUAAAUUAUUAGUAACACCUCUGUGUUCCUGAUGUGGCGUGUCAGCACGUCUGCUGUGGAGAGUUUCUGUAGGUGGGCUGUACUCAGGCACAAAAGUGCAAAUUUUAAAGGGCUAGUACACCCAAAUUAAAAAGCUUACGUAGUGGUAUCUAUUAGUGAGAUUGCUGUUCUUACAAGGACACGAUGGAGGGGCAUGCAGGGCAUUUACUUAGUACUCUCUCGAUUAAUCCUACGGAUCAUUUUUUCAGGAUUUUUUAUUUGGCGUAUUUAAUGGUCCCAGAGAGUGAAAAAUGACCGUCGUAGAAAUCAGAAAGUUUGCCUGUUAAUUUCCUCUUUAUCUAGAUUUACUGAAUAAUUACUGCACCUCUAGGUGAGUGCUAAUUAGUUUGGGGAGCUCUGAAAAAUGACUUUCCUUCUAGACCCUCUUACUGUUGGUAAUUUAAUUGGAAAUAUGUGGGGGCCUUCUAAUGAAAACUUCCCAGGAUGGAAGUUUUUUGAGUUUGGGGGGGGGGGCAAACUAAACAAAAAUAAUCUGCACAGAAUAAAAGUACGUUUCUAAUUUUGGGUGAACUGACCCUUUAAAGUCGAGGCACAUUUAGUUUUCUGAGGAGUUGACAGCAGAGCUUAAUAAGAAUCGCUGUAAUUAUGUAACGUGUGCUCUGCUGCCCUGCUGGCUUUUCUUGAUGGAUUAAUUAUUUCUCACCUCACAUCUCUGAACAAACGGAGUGAACACGAGUGAAACGCUGUUGCUGCACUUCACUGGGAGAAAACAUGUCGAGCACUCUGUCAGACCUUUCUCCUUCACCCUUCAGCAUUUUAAAAGCCACUUAUUCUUCCCAUAAUCGGGAGUUUGUGUUGUAAAUAUGUUGGAGUAUGUUCUUUUGAGGCUGUGCCUGAAUGCACAUGGCUUUAACAGCUGGACUGAAAGAAGAUGGACUUCUUGUGCGCACCAAGUCUUUACACUAGAAAUUGAAAAAGUCCAUUGCAGCUCAUCUUGUAAAUUCCGCCUUUUCGCCUGUUACUACUGUUGCUCGCUUUCACAUACAUGACCGAAACAUGGAAAAGCUCAUAUUCUUCACUUGUUGUUUUGUCAAAAGCUGCUUUUGUUUUACAUUUCCAGAAGUUGCAGUCUAUAAUUUUAUGUGUAUAUUUCCUUUUUCUUGUGUGUGUAAUAAAUAAAAUGUUUUAUGAUACUGAGAAAGUGCACGGUUGCUUAUUUGUGUACCCCACAGCUCACUUAUGCUCGUAAAGCUCUUGGAGCCGUAGCCGAAACCCAACAGGAAGUUCACCAUUUUGAAUUUAAAACUCAAUUUUGGCUAUUUAUGCUAUUUUAGGGUGUUAUGUUUCAAUCAACUACUAGGGAUUCAAUUUGAUCAACUUUGUUUCUCAAUCUCAUCCAAAGACCUUGGUGAUGCUAAGCUUGGUGAAGCGUUUGUAGUUUCGUUAACGGGCGUGUCUGUGGUGGCUUGGAGAAUGCCAUUUAUCCGCCAUAGCGUCGGGAGUUAUCAGAAAUCAGGUCUUUGUGAG